AGCCAUGACUUCAUUAUCCUAGUAUUUGGACUCUUUGGCAAUUUGCCUUUUUUUAACGACCACUUUUAAUGUAUAACAUCCACACUGCUGUGCACAAUAAGGUCAGAAGCACACUCUAAUCAUACCAGGGAACUAGAGGAGCAUGGAAUGCCUUCCCUGGCCUUUAAAGAAUGAUCUAGACUCACAUUUUUAAAACCAACUUCAUCAAGGUGUAAUCCUAUAUGAUAAAAGCCUAACAUGCUAA
Molecule: long non-coding RNA, 244 nt
Organism: Pipistrellus kuhlii (Kuhl's pipistrelle)
Lineage: Eukaryota; Metazoa; Chordata; Mammalia; Chiroptera; Vespertilionidae
Exons: 2
Source: RefSeq, a predicted model, not a curated record